RNAcentral lists this long non-coding RNA (889 nucleotides) under Apteryx rowi (Okarito brown kiwi). RNAcentral describes it as "lncRNA (ENSARWG00000008760.1)". The record is from RNAcentral. Lineage: Eukaryota; Metazoa; Chordata; Aves; Apterygiformes; Apterygidae.
CAGAGCCACAGCUCUGCUUCCUAGCCAGGCAUGCGCGAGCUGCGCGGCGCCCCGCCCCUGCGGAGCAGCCGGCGGGGGCGCGCGGUGAUUCUGUAAAGUGCACUGGAUCAGAAGGGAGCAUUCAUCAGUUCAGGAUGAAAAGGGAAGUAAGAACAUAAUGGAACAAGAAGUCUCCCCAUACAACUUCCCAUGUGAGUCCUGGAGCAGGUCUGCUGCCUUGCUCCGAAGAAUGUGGACUUCACACUUGCUUCACUUCAGCUUGAUCUUCCUAAAGCUUAGACUUAAAGGAGACUCUUCAUUCCCUGCCUCUUGCAACCCAGGACUUUUAAAGAUAGAACAGCUUUGCUCUGUAACAGGAUACAUCAAAUCACUAGAUUGGUCCCCAGUUACCUAGCAGCCAGGAUGACAACUGAUGGGGAGGAGAUAGACAGAUGUGUGCUCAUUUUACAGGUUUUUCUGAAGCACAUAAUAGCAGAAUUUGUAAGAAACAGUUUGCUGGACUAGAGGGAUCCCAGCUUUGACUCACUAUAACUUUCCCUCUAAAGGAACCCAGAAACAGUUAAAGAAAACUUCUAGAAGUUGGAGGGGUUUUUUUUAAAUAUUUAAGCUGCCUGAAUUACUUUUGCAGAGCUUGACGAAAUUAUUAACCAAAGGCCACAUGCUCAAUAAGUGUCUUCCGUAUGGAGAUUAAGUCACCAUCAACAUGAAACAGAGACAAAUCCUGUUCUAAAGGCAGGCUUUCAUGCAGUUCAACUAACAUUUGAAUCAUUCACACUUAAUAUUAAUCACUGAUAAGUGAAGGGCAAGGGGGACAAAGAGUCAGCAGGAAGGAGUACUGGGGGGCACAUUUAUAGCUAGCUUAUGAAUUUGGAUAUGGGGAAGAUGGAAA